Molecule: unclassified non-coding RNA, 253 nt
Filed under: uncultured Enterococcaceae bacterium
Lineage: Bacteria; Bacillati; Bacillota; Bacilli; Lactobacillales; Enterococcaceae
Description: contains 16S-23S intergenic spacer region
Rfam family: Bacterial small subunit ribosomal RNA
Source: RNAcentral
UACGUAGGGGGCAAGCGUUGUCCGGAUUUAUUGGGCGUAAAGCGAGCGCAGGCGGUUUCUUAAGUCUGAUGUGAAAUCCCCCGGCUCAACCUGGGAGGGUCAUUGGAAACUGGGAGACUUGAGUGCAGAAGAGGAGAGUGGAAUUCCAUGUGUAGCGGUGAAAUGCGUAGAUAUAUGGAGGAACACCAGUGGCGAAGGCUGCUCUCUGGUCUGUAACUGACGCUGAGGCGCGAAAGCGUGGCGAGCGUAAAGG